Molecule: long non-coding RNA, 2936 nt
Organism: Equus caballus (horse)
Lineage: Eukaryota; Metazoa; Chordata; Mammalia; Perissodactyla; Equidae
Source: Ensembl
GUUUACUGCUCAACUGAUCCCUUGAAAUCUUUUGGAAAUUACAGAAAAAGUAACUUAAAAAAAUACAUAAUAGUUCUGGAAUGCAAUAAAUGAUAUCUUCAGUUGUCCGGAAAAUCUGAGUCACUUCUGGAAUGCAGAAAGCAAAUUAGCAGAGAAACUAGACCUGAUAAAGCCACAACAGAAAACCUGUACAGGUGAAGGCUGCCGUGGAUGUGGGAGGCAUUCUUUCCAGGUGAGCCUAAGAGGAACUGAGCUCAGAGUCAGCCACACACAGAGAAGGAGUGGGCAGGAAAUGAAAGGAGCGCUUUCUUUCAGGAGACCUGAGGUCAGCUGAGCCCCUCCCCAUCACCAUCACCAGCUACAGCUGCAGAAUUGCCCCAAGGCUGACUCCCGGAGACUUGUUUCCUAGGCAAAGUCAAAGAGCUGCCUGGUGUGUACUCCUAAUGGGGUCUCGGGACCCAUCAGAGCCUUAAUCCACUCUUUACCUCCACUAACACACAGAUGAGGAAAAAGGUGUGCUCCUUAGUUUCGACAUAGGAUGUUUUCCAGUAGCUUCCCUGACAAGGGAAGCAUGACAGAGGCACCUGGUGCUUCACAUCCCUGAGGUUCUCCCCUCUGCGCUAGACUCCUGCCCGGCUCCAGCACCUCCAAUAAGAUAUCCUCAGUUGCAAUCUCAAUCUGAUGGAAGAAAAAGAGGCCAUCAUUCAUUCACUCAGCAAACAUUUAUUGAGGACCUACUGUGUUCUCGGCACUGUAAUAGCCCUGGGAAAAAGAAGACAUUUGAGGAAAAAGACGAUCCAAGUUUCUGCCCUAACUGAGCUUACUUUUUGUAGGCAUUUAGUGGUUGGAAAGUAUGACAGACUGAAUUGUGUCAAACUUCUUAUGUUGAAGCCCUAACAUCCAAGGUGACAAUUUGGAGAUAGUGCCUUGAGGGAGGUGAUCAAUAAUAAAUGAGAUCACAAGAGUUGAACCCUAAUCUAACAGGACUAGUGUCUUUAUAAGAAGUGGAAGAGACAGCAGAGAUCUCUGUCUCUGUCCACAGGCACACAGAGGAAAGACCAUGGGAGGACACAGUGAGAAGGUGGCCAUUUAUAAGCCAGGAAGAAAGUCUGCACCAGAAUACAACCCUGCCAGCACCUUGAUCUUGGACUUCCAGCCUCCACACCUGUAACAAAACAAAUCUCUGUUGUCUCAGCCCCCCGACCUGAGGUAUUUUGUGAUGCAGCCUGAGCAGACUAAUACAGAAUGGAUCUGCGGUCACUGUGAGAAGACAGGAGAGGAGAAAGGAGAGAAAGGAAAUUGUUCACAGAAGAGGAAUACAGGAAUGAUUCUGAUCAUCACUCAGAAUUCUUGUCAUUUAUUUCACAAGUUAAGAUCGCUCCUAUUUUUGAUGGAUUCCAGUAAAGAAAAAGCUACAACUUCCCUUGAUGAUUACUUGGCUCUCUCAACCCUGUCUCGGGCCUUUCACUGCAUGGUUAUGUGUCAUGUCUAUCUGCCUCCUGGGAUUCAUAAGCUACUCCCGUGGCAAGUCUCAGCUUAGUUCAUUCGCCAGCCGCUGCUGGUCAGAGUCUGGCCUAAAUAUAGCUGCAUCCCUCUCAGGGUUCUCUCAUUUCUCCUGUGAACCAAAUGCUUUGAUUCUCAUUUCUGGUUUUAACUGGCCAACCAGGCAAUAUAUUUCCAUAUAUAAGCAAUCUCUGUGGAGUAUUUCUGAAUCCCCAAAGACAGUCUGCCCUUCCUUGGCUCAUGGAAUUAGGUAAGCGUGAACCCUAACUAACUGCUACAUGGACUUGGUCCCUGCUCCCACUGCUAAAUUUGGGGUGUUUGUAUUUGCUAUUUAUUGCCUAAGAAUUUACCACUAGGUUAGUGGUUUAAACAACACAUAUUUAUCAUCUUCAUUUCUGUGGGUCAGGAAUUCAGCUUAGCUGGGUCUUCUACUUCAGAGUCUCACUUAGCUGCAUCAAGUUGUUGACAGGGCUAGGGUCUCAUCUGAAAGUCUGACUGGGAAAGGAUCCACUGUCAGUCUCACUCAGGUUGUUGGCAGAAUUUGGUUCCUCAAGAAUAGCUGGACUGAGGGCCCCAGUGCCUUGCUGGCUGUUGGCCAGAGGCCACUCUCAGUUCUUCAGUUGCCACAUGGACCUCUCCAACAUGUCCAUUUACUUCAGCAAAGCAUGAAAGCCAAGAGGGCAAAUGGAGAGUCUGCUAGCAAGAGAGAGGUGACAAUCUCUCAUAAGCUAAUCAUGGAAAAGACAUCCCAUCACCUUUGCCAUUGUCCUAUUGAUCAGAAGCAAGUCACAAGGUUCAGACCACUCAAGUGGGGUGUGGGUUGAUUACACAAGGAGGCAGGCAUCACCAGAGGCCAUCUUAGAAGCUACCUAGAACAGUGUUGGUGAGCAGAAAAGAAGCCAUUCUGACCCAUCAGUCAUCUAGAUGUUUCUUCUGCAUCUCUGAAAGAACUACUUAUUACCUUCUUGUUUCUUAAGAAAAGGAAAUCUAGGAAGGUGAUACUGGUUUCAUUGUAAGCAUCAACCUCUUAGAAGUCAGGUCAAUUUGGCUAUGACAUUUGUCCUGUACUCCCAACACCUUUUACCCUUGGCCACUUGAAUAACUGACAAGUGCUCCCUCCUAAAUCCAUCUGAGACAGAACUUGCAUAGUGUCUGGCAAACACUACUCUUCCUCCUUCAAGAACUGGGCCAUCCUACCCCAAUAUCUCAAGGCAGAAACUACAAGUAACCCCUGACUCCUUCCUCUCUCUCAUUCUGUCUUCAUGGUGUAAAAUAUUAAACAAGUAUUUCGAUAAACAGUUAUGUGGAAGGGGACCUACCUGGCAAGAAGAGUAGUUAUUUAUUGAUGAUGGAGGUGGGGCAACAAGGCAAUUCCCAUGUGAUUUGGGACCUCUCUAAGAUCUAGUUUUCUUUACUACAAGAGAGAGGAUAAU